GGCCGCGUCGACAGCGAAAGCGUUAAGUAAUCCACCUGGGGAGUACGCCGGCAACGGUGAAACUCAAAGGAAUUGACGGGGGCCCGCACAAGCGGAGGAACAUGUGGUUUAAUUCGAUGAUACGCGAGGAACCUUACCCGGGUUUGAACGCAGGGGGACCGGUCAGGAAACUGACUCUCUAGCAAUAGCCGCUUGCGAGGUGCUGCAUGGUUGUCGUCAGCUCGUGCCGUGAGGUGUCGGCUUAAGUGCCAUAACGAGCGCAACCCUUGAUCUUAGUUGCCAGCAUUCAGUUGGGCACUCUAAGGUGACUGCCGGUGACAAACCGGAGGAAGGUGGGGAUGACGUCAAGUCAUCAUGGCCCUUACGGCCUGGGCUACACACGUGCUACAAUGGUCGGUACAAAGGGUUGCCAAGCCGCGAGGUGGAGCUAAUCCCAUAAAACCGAUCGUAGUCCGGAUCGCAGUCUGCAACUCGACUGCGUGAAGUCGGAAUCGCUAGUAAUCGUGAAUCAGAAUGUCACGGUGAAUACGUUCCGGGUCCG
RNAcentral lists this ribosomal RNA (541 nucleotides) under uncultured bacterium. RNAcentral describes it as "bacterial SSU rRNA". It matches the Rfam family "Bacterial small subunit ribosomal RNA", at positions 838 to 1382 of the family's 1533-position model. The record is from RNAcentral.